UACGUAGGGGGCAAGCGUUGUCCGGAUUUAUUGGGCGUAAAGAGCGUGUAGGCGGCUUUACAGGUCCGUUGUGAAAACUCGAGGCUCAACCUCGAGACGUCGAUGGAAACCAUCUGGCUAGAGUCCGGAAGAGGAGAGUGGAAUUCCUGGUGUAGCGGUGAAAUGCGCAGAUAUCAGGAAGAACACCCGUGGCGAAGGCGGCUCUCUGGUACGUGACUGACGCUGAGACGCGAAAGCGUGGGGAGCAAACAGG
This 253-nucleotide ribosomal RNA is filed under the name uncultured bacterium. Its description in RNAcentral is "partial 16S ribosomal RNA". It matches the Rfam family "Bacterial small subunit ribosomal RNA", at positions 524 to 776 of the family's 1533-position model. The record is from RNAcentral.